RNAcentral lists this ribosomal RNA (482 nucleotides) under uncultured bacterium. Its description in RNAcentral is "partial 16S ribosomal RNA". It matches the Rfam family "Bacterial small subunit ribosomal RNA", at positions 30 to 507 of the family's 1533-position model. The record is from RNAcentral.
AUUGAACGCUGGCGGCAGGCCUAACACAUGCAAGUCGAGCGGAUGAAGGGAGCUUGCUCCUGGAUUCAGCGGCGGACGGGUGAGUAAUGCCUAGGAAUCUGCCUGGUAGUGGGGGAUAACGUCCGGAAACGGGCGCUAAUACCGCACACGUCCUGAGGGAGAAAGGGGGGGAUCUUCGGACCUCACGCUAUCAGAUGACCCUAGGUCGGAUUAGCUAGUUGGUGGGGUAAAGGCCUACCAAGGCGACGAUCCGUAACUGGUCUGAGAGGAUGAUCAGUCACAAUGGAACAGAGACACGGUCCAGACUGCUACGGGAGGCAGCAGUGGGGAAUAUUGGACGGUGGGCGAAAGCCAGAUCCAGCCAUGCCGCGUGUGAAGAAGGUCUUCGGAUUGUAAAGCACUGUAAGUUGGGAGGAAGGGCAGUAAGAUAAUACCUUGCUGUCUUGACGUUACCAACAGAAUAAGCACCGGCUAACUUCGUG